This 743-nucleotide non-coding RNA is filed under the name Trioza urticae. The record is from RNAcentral. Lineage: Eukaryota; Metazoa; Arthropoda; Insecta; Hemiptera; Triozidae.
AUAUAUUUUAUUUUGGUAUAAAUAAUUUCUUGUUUCUUUUAUUUACAUGUAAAUUAUUGUUUAACUAUUUGAAAUAUUUUCGACAGUAAAUAUUUUUAAUUCUAAAAGAAAUUUUGAUUUAGAAAUUGAUUUUAGAAUUAACUAAUUUUGUGCCAGCAGUUGCGGUUAAACAACGAAUUCAAAGAAAUUUAAGAAUAAUAUUAAUUAUAAUGGUAAAGUGGGUGAAUAUAUUAAAUUUUAAGGUAAAAUUUUAAAUUUAAAGUAAUAUCUAAUUUUAUAAAUUGAGAAAUUAUUCAUUGGACCAGGAUUAGAUACCCUGUUAUUUUUAUGUAAAUUUUUGGAGUAGUAAAAGCUAAGAUCUUGAAACUCAAAAAAUUUGGCGGUAUUUUAUCUUAUCAGAGGAAUCUGUUUGUUAAUUGAUAAUCCACAAUUAUAACUUACUUUUAUUAAGAUACUUGUAUACCGCUGUCAUGAAUAUAUUAAGAAAUUUUAUUUUCUUUUUUUUUAUGGAGUUUAUGUUAGGUCAAGGUGCAGUAUUUAAAAGAAAAAAAUGGGUUACAUUAAAUACUAUGAAUGGAAUUAGUUAAAUUUUAACUAAGAAAAUAGGAUUUGAAAGUAAAAGGAUUAUAUAACAAUUAAAUGAAUAUAGAUUCUAAAAUAUGUACACAUUGCCCGUCGCUCUUGCUUAAAGUAAGAUAAGUCGUAACAUAGUAGGUGUACCGGAAGGUGUAUCUGGAAUUAAA